Molecule: long non-coding RNA, 1142 nt
Organism: Mastomys coucha (southern multimammate mouse)
Lineage: Eukaryota; Metazoa; Chordata; Mammalia; Rodentia; Muridae
Exons: 2
Source: RefSeq, a predicted model, not a curated record
CGUAGCCUACCCAGGCAGUCAGCUUCUCAGUAUUGAGGAUAAGAAAAGUCAGGCUGUCAGGAGCAUGCACACAGCCCCACGGGAACAGCAGACACACAGUGCCACAUCCAAGGUUACACACGCAUGAUGUAAGCGGCUUCUGUUUCAACCUCACCUUCACAGAAAGAGCCAGAGACUAAGGCAGGGAACAGAUUGGAAGCUGCUGGUGUGUAUUUCUGUCAUCUGUUGACUAGGAUGAGGAGCUCCGGUCCCAUGGGCACAAUGACAAGAAUGGAGCUGGCAAAAGCUAGGCCUGGUGGGACAGCUGCUUGGGAGGCUGAGGCAGUAUUGUGGGGCAUCCACCAGAGAAGACCCGUUGGACAGGGAUGUUAACCAAUAGAAAGUCUUUAUGAGCUGACAGAGACUCUACUGGGUGUUCGACUCCGACUGUAGCCCCCAGCCUUUCUCAGGUGAGCUGUUAAACACAAAAGCCAUGUUCUGGAUUGACACACUUCAGUAAACAAGAACAGUUAGCCAGAAGCCGAACUAGAGAAGCAAAAAAGCAAUGUUAGUACAUUUAGAGACUUUCCAUGGACUGUGGACUUGGAUGGAUUACGCUUUGUUUUAGUUUUGGCAAGUGGUGCUAAGUGCUGAAAGGUAUGGAGUCAAUUGUGCUAAAAUCUGCAGCCCUGUUACAGUAGGAGGUAGGAAGAUCUGAAGUUCAAGGCCUGCCUGUCUACAGAGACCAUAGCUAGUAUGACUUAUGUAAAUCCCUAAUGAAAGGGGGUGGAGUCCAAAAUGCUGCUCAGGUCAGAGAAGGCAACUUGUCCUAAGGACUCUGGUGGGUGGGCUGGGGCGUGGCUCAGCUGGUAAAGUGCUUGCCUAACAUGCACGAAGGCACGGGUUUGAGCCCCACAGCCACCUCUAAGCCAGGCAUGAUGGCACAUAGUUGUGAUCUUAGCAUUCAGAAGGCAAAAGAGUUCAAGGCCAUCCUUAGCUGCAUAGUGAAUUCAAGGCCAGCCUUGUCUAAGGAGUGUGACCCUGUCUCAAAUAGAAAAAUAAGAGAAAUGAACAAAAGCCCCAAACUUAUUUUCUGAGAGUUUGAUAAAACACAUUCUUUGUAUCACUGUAAACCAAUAAACAAAUCUCAUUGUGGUGAUUAA